This 112-nucleotide transfer RNA is filed under the name Candidatus Freyarchaeota archaeon. Its description in RNAcentral is "tRNA-Asn". It matches the Rfam family "tRNA". From Rfam's summary of the family: Transfer RNA (tRNA) molecules are approximately 80 nucleotides in length. Their secondary structure includes four short double-helical elements and three loops (D, anti-codon, and T loops). Lineage: Archaea; Promethearchaeati; Candidatus Freyarchaeota. The record is from RNAcentral.
GCCGGGGUAGCUCAGUUCAGGUAGACGGUGUAAGGCGCCACGUGCGCGCCGGGCCGUCAGCGCCAGGCUGUUAACCUGGUGGUCGCAGGUUCGAGUCCUGCCCCCGGCGCCA